Molecule: small nuclear RNA, 102 nt
Organism: Suncus etruscus (white-toothed pygmy shrew)
Lineage: Eukaryota; Metazoa; Chordata; Mammalia; Eulipotyphla; Soricidae
Source: RefSeq, a predicted model, not a curated record
GAUUUAUUCAGCACAUAUACUAAAUUUGGAACCAUACAGAGAAAAUUAGCAUGGCCCCUGCGCAAGGAUGGUAUACAAUUUUGUGAAGCAUUGCAUAUUUAA